AAUCCAUAGGUUAAUGAGGCGAACCGGGGGAACUGAAACAUCUAAGUACCCCGAGGAAAAGAAAUCAACCGAGAUUCCCCCAGUAGCGGCGAGCGAACGGGGAGGAGCCCAGAGCCUGAAUCAGCAUGUGUGUUAGUGGAAGCGUCUGGAAAGGCGCGCGAUACAGGGUGACAGCCCCGUACACAAAAGCGCAUGUGCUGUGAGCUCGAUGAGUAGGGCGGGACACGUGGUAUCCUGUCUGAAUAUGGGGGGACCAUCCUCCAAGGCUAAAUACUCCUGACUGACCGAUAGUGAACCAGUACCGUGAGGGAAAGGCGAAAAGAACCCCGGCGAGGGGAGUGAAAAAGAACCUGAAACCGUGUACGUACAAGCAGUGGGAGCACCCUUUGGGUGUGACUGCGUACCUUUUGUAUAAUGGGUCAGCGACUUAUAUUCUGUAGCAAGGUUAACCGAAUAGGGGAGCCGGA
This 467-nucleotide ribosomal RNA is filed under the name Salmonella enterica subsp. enterica serovar Enteritidis. Its description in RNAcentral is "partial 23S ribosomal RNA". It matches the Rfam family "Bacterial large subunit ribosomal RNA", at positions 161 to 670 of the family's 2925-position model. The record is from RNAcentral. Lineage: Bacteria; Pseudomonadati; Pseudomonadota; Gammaproteobacteria; Enterobacterales; Enterobacteriaceae.